AUUAAUAGAUAUAUACUUUAAAUUUAAAGAAUUUGGCGGUAAUUUAGUCUUGUUAGAGGAACCUGUUUUUGAAUCGAUAAACCACGUAAAAUCUUACUUGUUUUUGUGUUCAGCUUAUAUACCGUCAUUAUCAGAUAAUCUUUAAAAAGUUUAAUUAUUAAAAUUUAAAAUUGUAUUAAACGAAAUUAGAUCAAGGUGUAGCUAAUAAACAAGUUAGAAUGGGUUACAAUAAAACUUAUUUAUUACGGAAUAAUUAUAAGAAGAUAUGUUAAACAAGGAGGAUUUAAUUGUAAUGAAAGUUCAAUAAGCUUUAAAGAUAUAAGCCCUAAAUUAU
RNAcentral lists this ribosomal RNA (334 nucleotides) under Jacforus cavatus. RNAcentral describes it as "partial small subunit ribosomal RNA". Lineage: Eukaryota; Metazoa; Arthropoda; Malacostraca; Decapoda; Xanthidae. The record is from RNAcentral.